RNAcentral lists this unclassified non-coding RNA (1737 nucleotides) under Portunus trituberculatus (swimming crab). RNAcentral describes it as "uncharacterized LOC123518313, transcript variant X6". The record is from RNAcentral. Lineage: Eukaryota; Metazoa; Arthropoda; Malacostraca; Decapoda; Portunidae.
UUGUAGUAUUGUUGUGAGUCAAGUCCUUUCAUACAUGGAAGCUCUUUGUCCUUUUUCGAAAUUUGAAGUUUUACAUAAACGACGCCUGGCGUUUUGAAGCAGCAAAUGAAAGUUUGAAACCCGCCACGCCUCAGUAGGCAGAUGUGAGUUGUGCCACGCCACGUUGAGUUUGUUUCUUCCGUUGUCAGGGUGCUGUGGUGUGGGUCAAGGAUUGCAUCUAAGUUGUGUCGUUGAAGGAGUGCACUUGAAUCCAGCCCCAAUAUUGCAGCAGACUGGCUUUGUUAUUUUCUCCGUUAUAUCAAGAAGGAUGCAUGCGUGCCGUGUGGUUCACGUGACAUGUGGUGACCAAACCACCACCGCCAGCCGCCAGGUAGCCCCGGGACAGGCCCAUUGGGCCAUCCAUCAUGCUGCCAUCCUUGGCCCAGGAGCUAAGAACAGUCUUCAUUGAUGGUGCAAGGAAAGUGUAAAACGUCGACGAACGAAAAAUCCUGUCUCCCUUCCUGGUGAACCUCUGGGCAAGACCGAUGCUGUUCAGCACUCCAUUCACCUCACACCAGGCUUGACUCCCACCUACGUCCCUGCUUACCGUAUCCCUCACAGUCGCAGGGCAAUGGUGGACGAUGCUGUCAGAGCCAUGCUUCAGGAUGACGUCAUUGAACCUGCGGCUUCGCCUUUCAACGCUCCGCUUUUCUUGUUUCCCAAGUCUGAUGGGGUGUGGACUACUUUGGACACUGCAAACUUCAAUAAGAUCCGCUGUGGUGUAGAACAGGAAAGCACCACUCAGAAAAAGAUGUCCCACGAGCCCAAGUACUUCGGCAGGCUGCCCAGUAUGGUCUGUGGUGCCAAAACUACAGGACUGGUGUUGGAACUCGUGCAAUCUUCCAUACUUAUCUGAUUGGCAAAUUUAUGAUGUCACCAAACUAUUGCCGUGAGAGAGAACCACUGCUGCUGCUGCCUUUCCAUGGGACAUUCCAUCCUCCCAUGCCCUGAGGAAGAUAGGAACAUUGUAGUGCCAACACUUACGGGGUUCCUCAUCUCCACAAGGUGAGGCACCCUGAGGACCUUCCUACUCUUGGCACCCGUGGACACAACCUGCCUUUCCUGCAGGUCAGGGAUUCAUACUUGAAACUCCUGCAUCUCCAAGAUCCUUUGAUGAACUUAGCCUGUGUCUCUGAGACCUUUGUAACAAAGACUUGAGAACAAGAGAACUACCACACUCAGCCAAAACUGUACGGAAAGCUGCCAUCUCUACACAAACUAGCUAGUGUUAGGUCACUCACCACCAACAGAGACAUGUUCAUUCACUAGGAAGGUUGACCUGAGAGAAACACUAAACUGAUUCUGUCUGUGAAUCUGUAGAGAUGAAUUUAAUUAUGCUGUGUGUCUGUAAAUGUCAGUUUAAACAAUCACUUUUAUUUAUCACAUAUUUAUUGUUUAUUGAACAUAUAUUGACCAUCAAACUUAAAAGGGAUAAUAAACCUAAGUGUGGUUUGGGUGAUACAAUAAUAUAGAUGAGAUCUGUUUUUGGGAAUCUCCCUUAUUAGAUGUGAUCUCAGCAAGAAUUGGCUCAUACCAUUAGAUGCAGAAUUAGAUAUAGUGUUGACUCAACACUAAUUACAUUUCCAUAAAUUAUGUACUCUAUCUCUCUUACGAGGAUUUGGUACACAAGUGCACUUUUGUUAUCUAAUCUUUACUCAUGUAAUGGUAUAAGUAUACUAAUAUUGAAAUAAAAUUACA